AUUGAACGCUGGCGGCAGGCCUAACACAUGCAAGUCGAGCGGAGAGGCGGACGGGUGAGUAAUGCCUAGGAAUCUGCCUGGUAGUGGGGGAUCACGUCCGGAAACGGGCGCUAAUACCGCAUACUAUCAGAUGAGCCUAGGUCGGAUUAGCUAGUUGGUGGGGUAAAGGCCUACCAAGGCGACGAACCGGAACUGGUCUGAGAGGAUGAUCAGCCACACUGGAACUGAGACACGGACCAGACUCCUACGGGAGGCAGCGGUGGGGAAUAUUGGACAAUGGGCGAAAGCCUGUUCCGGCAAUGCCGCGUGUGUGACGAAGGCCUUCGGGUUGUAAAGCACUUUUGGGAGGAAAGCGGUACCUGCAGAAUAAGCACCGGCUAACUCCGUGCCAGCAGCCGCGGUAAUAC
Molecule: ribosomal RNA, 407 nt
Filed under: uncultured bacterium
Lineage: Bacteria
Description: partial 16S ribosomal RNA
Rfam family: Bacterial small subunit ribosomal RNA
Source: RNAcentral